GUGCUUGCUUUUGCAGCUUGUAUUCUAAAACUGGAACGAAACAGAGAUGGUUAGCCUGGCUCCUGUGCGAGGAUGACCAGCGGGUUCAUGAAACGUUUCAUACCUUG
Small nuclear RNA from Gorilla gorilla gorilla (western lowland gorilla), 107 nucleotides. The record is from Ensembl. NCBI's taxonomy places the organism in Eukaryota, Metazoa, Chordata, Mammalia, Primates, Hominidae.